CGGCGGCGAAGUCGUCGCACGAACGCCCUAGCCUGUACCAGGGACAUCAUAAGUCCUGGGAUUCCGGAAUCCACUUACCACAGGUCGAGGGUUCAUAGCCAACCCUAUACUAUCGACCUAGCUCAUCCUAGUGGCUAUACCACUAUACUCAUCAACCUAGGUUCCAAUACUCUAGGUUCUAUGUCCACAUCACUUAACCUAGAUACACUUGCUAGGUUCUUGUCAUCUUCGCCUAGAUGUCCACUUCUAGGUUUACUAGUUCAACCUAGGUUUACUAACACUAGGUCAAAUGCCACACACCUAGAUUGUUCGACUCUAGGUUUACUAAUCAACCUAUGUUCUUUAACACUAGGUUAGAUGCCACUCGAUCUAUCUGACAACCUAGUUGUCCAAUUGACUCUAUUUACACUAGAGUUAUCAUGUUACUUACUUAGCUCUUCUGAUGCUACUUUGCAUUCUCUACUUUAACUAGCAUUAUAUACAUGCUAUGCUCAUUAUGCUCUCUACUUAGCAUUUCCAUCUAUGCAUAAUUAGUACAUGCAUUCGUUACGUUAACUAGCAUUAAUUACUUAGCAUGCUUUCCAUUUAGCGUUUCCAUCUUAUAUUAGUCAUCCUCUCUACUUAACAUUUACUAAUAUGGCUCUAUGCAUCAUUAUUUAACAUGCAUUUACACUAUGCAUUAUUAUCAUCAUGCAUUCCAAUUACUUGCUUGCAUUAUUUAUUUAUCAUGCUCAUCAUGCAUUCUUUACUUUUCUUGCAUUUACUCUAUGCAUUGUUAUUAACAUACAUUUACUUUACAUCAUGCAUCAUUGUUAACUUACAUCCUUUACUUAGUCUUUACCUUAUGUAUAUUUACUAAUGCAUCAUUUAGCCUUGUCUACAUGCACAUGCAUCAACGUGAGAUUACAUUGCUAAGACAUAAAGGGUGACCUAGUCGCUUCGGUAAGCACAACCCACCUUAACUUGCGUUCCGAUUGCUUGUCGACACUUGCAAUCGGCCUCCCGCCGCACUCGGCACCCGUUUGGGCCCGCACUCUUGCGCGACUUAGCGAACGACCUCCGAACCGCGAUCCGUCUUUUCCGGAGUUUAUUCCUUGACUCCAAGAUGCUUCGGUUCCGAUCUCACGAUUUUUAGGCUUUUAUUUCGCGUG
RNAcentral lists this long non-coding RNA (1151 nucleotides) under Ananas comosus (pineapple). RNAcentral describes it as "long non-coding RNA (ACOM_LNC030382)". The record is from RNAcentral. Lineage: Eukaryota; Viridiplantae; Streptophyta; Magnoliopsida; Poales; Bromeliaceae.